RNAcentral lists this long non-coding RNA (1199 nucleotides) under Oryctolagus cuniculus (rabbit). Its description in RNAcentral is "lncRNA (ENSOCUG00000031700.1)". The record is from RNAcentral. Lineage: Eukaryota; Metazoa; Chordata; Mammalia; Lagomorpha; Leporidae.
GAGGAUUAUGGAAUGGAAGGAAUCAGCUGGCAUAAUAGGGAUUAUCAUGAUAAUAGCUGUUGUAUGCAUCUCAUUAGCACAAAACCAACAGGACUCUGCAGUUUGGAUGAAGAAAGCAAGGCUGAACCAGAAGAUGUCAUGGGUUUAUUACAGCCCAUGGCCUGGACGUUCCCCAUCUCUGUUCCUGGGGAACAAAGUAUAAUGAUGAGAGGAGAGUCCUCCAGGUGAUGGGAUGAGUCCUCACUGACUUGCCUACAUGAGGAGCUGGUAGGUGCACACAUGUGUACAUGUCAUACAAGUCCUCACAGAGGUGUUUUGUGAAGCCACUUCCACUCAGAACAGUCUAUCACUACACUUCUGAUCCUGUUGUUUGCGAUGAAUGUAUUUUUAACCUUGUAAGGGAUCUUCAGAAGGUUGAUAGCAAAAUGCAAUUGAAUGAUAACAUCCCUGGAAACUUUUAAAGCUGCCUUGACAACACAGAUUAGUCUAGACCCUCAUCUCUGUCAUGUAAGCCCCUUGCUUUCCUCUCCUGUCUCUGGAACUUUAAGCUCAUUGUCUUGUGUUGUGUCCCCUUCCACCCUGUGCUUUGCAAGGUGAUGUUUCUGCUUGCAUACAAUCCCUAGGUGACCAUAUCUAGUUUAACAGUCCAUUUAUGUUAAUAUUCAAAUACUUUUCUGAAAGUUCCCUUGGACUGCAGACUCGAUCCAUCUUCUUACUUCAAGUGUGUGUAGAGAUGUAGUGCAGUGGGUGUGAGUGGGUGUGUUUGAGCUGCUGCUCCUGCACCUAGUGUGCGAUAGCCAGCACCUCUGCGACUUAGUUUCUUCAUGUAUAAACUGGGAAUGCUAUUUUUCUCAUAGGCUUUCAGUAGGGUAAAAUAAGAUUGAGACAAGGGGCCGGCGCAGUGGCAUAGUGAGUUCAGCCACUGUUUGAGGUGCUGACAUGCCAUAUAGCUUCUGGUUCGAGUCUUGGCUGCUUCACUUCUAAUCCAGCUCCCUGCUAAUUGCCUGGGAAAGAAGCCUAGGAUGACCCAAGUGCUUGGACCCCUGCACCCAUGUUGGAGACCUGGAUGAAGCUCCUGGCUUUGCCCUGGCCUAGCCCUGGCUGUUGUGGCCCAUUUGGGGAGUGAAUCAGCAGAUGGAAGAGAUCUCUUUGUAAUUCUUUUAAAUAAAUAAAUCUUCAAAAAAAGAUUAAGAUAAUAC